RNAcentral lists this long non-coding RNA (261 nucleotides) under Theobroma cacao (cacao). RNAcentral describes it as "long non-coding RNA (TCAC_LNC005366)". The record is from RNAcentral. Lineage: Eukaryota; Viridiplantae; Streptophyta; Magnoliopsida; Malvales; Malvaceae.
AUCAUGUUAUUGAGUUUUAUUGUAUGGUGGAUUAUAUAUUAAUUAAUCACUACAGUAGGGGGUUUCUGUGGACCAGCCUUUUAGAGGGGCACGGUAAACCCCAUUAUAUUCUUACCUCGAACGGAGAGGCGCGUAGGGUAUCUCCUGGGGUAAAGUUUAGGGUUCACUUCACGCCAAACCACCACGUGAGGGGGAACUCAGCCAACGCCAAGGAACGGCUAUGUUUUCAAAACAAAAACAUGAUUUAUGUGAAAUGUGAAU